CGGCGAGUGGCGAACGGGUGAGUAAUAUAUCGGAACGUACCUUCAGUGGGGAUAACGUAGCGAAAGUUACGCUAAUACCGCAUAUUCUGUGAGCAGGAAAGCAGGGGAUCGCAAGACCUUGCGCUGAUUGAGCGGCCGAUAUCAGAUUAGCUAGUUGGUGAGGUAAAGGCUCACCAAGGCGACGAUCUGUAGCGGGUCUGAGAGGAUGAUCCGCCACACUGGAACUGAGACACGGUCCAGACUCCUACGGGAGGCAGCAGUGGGGAAUUUUGGACAAUGGGCGCAAGCCUGAUCCAGCCAUGCCGCGUGAGUGAAGAAGGCCUUCGGGUUGUAAAGCUCUUUCGGCCGGGAAGAAAUCGCACAGGUUAAUACCCUGUGUGGAUGACGGUACCGGAAUAAGAAGCACCGGCUAACUACGUG
RNAcentral lists this ribosomal RNA (420 nucleotides) under uncultured bacterium. Its description in RNAcentral is "bacterial SSU rRNA". It matches the Rfam family "Bacterial small subunit ribosomal RNA", at positions 89 to 507 of the family's 1533-position model. The record is from RNAcentral.